Molecule: long non-coding RNA, 5980 nt
Filed under: Fragaria vesca (wild strawberry)
Lineage: Eukaryota; Viridiplantae; Streptophyta; Magnoliopsida; Rosales; Rosaceae
Description: long non-coding RNA (FVES_LNC002182)
Source: RNAcentral
UUCACGGCCUUCACCACACCACACUAGAUACUAUAUAUGGAACCAGCGGGCCAUGUCGCCAUUGUCCCAACUCCAGGUUUAGGCCACCUGAUCCCGCUCACCGAGCUGGCCAAACGACUCGUCGUCCACCACAACUUCGCCGUCACCUUCUUCAUCCCCAACGACGGCACGAACCUGACACCGCAAAAGAAAGUCCUGCAAGCUUUGCCGAAGGUCGUAUCCUCCACCUUCCUCCCUCCCGUCAACUUCGACGACCUCCCACCAGACGCCGUGAUGGAAACCAAGAUUGCUCUCACCUUGUCUCGGUCACUCCCCGCUAUCCGCGACUCAGUUAAAGCCCUAGCCGAGUCGACUAUGGUUAAGGCGCUUGUUGUUGAUCUCUUUGGCCUUGAGGCCUUUGAAGUGGCCAAUGAGUUUAAUGUGCUGCCCUACCUUUUCUUCCCUACUACGGCGAUGCUUUUGUGGUUUGCGUUUGAGUUGCCAAAGCUUGACGAGACUACUACUUGUGAGUAUAGGGACUUGCCUGAACCGGUCCGGCUUCCGGGUUGUGUUCCGCUGCAUGGUAGAGAUUUCUCAGAACCGGUUCAAGAUCGGAGUGACGAUGCUUACAAGGCGUUGGUCGGAAUAUGUAAGAGGUUUAAAUCGGCUGCUGGGAUCAUGGUGAAUAGCUUUGCGGAUUUGGAACCGGGUGCUUUCAAGGCUUUCAAGGAGCAAGGACCAGGUCUCGGCCUUCCACCGGUUUACCCGGUCGGACCGGUGAUUCAGACCGGUUCGGCGGCUGAGUUAGGUGAGAAUGAGUGCUUGAGCUGGUUGGAUGCUCAGCCAAAGAGGUCAGUGUUGUAUGUUUCGUUUGGAAGUGGUGGAACCCUCACUAGUAAACAAAUGAAUGAGUUGGCCGCAGGGAUUGAAAUGAGUAGGGUGAGAUUCCUUUGGGUUGCUAGGAGUCCAAAUGAGAAACUGAAAAAUGCUACAUAUUUUGGUGCUCAAGGUCCCAACGAUCCCUUAAGUUUUCUACCCCAAGGGUUCUUAGAGAGAACCAAAGAUGUAGGUAAGGUUGUAAGCUCUUGGGCACCCCAGGUCCAAAUUUUGAGUCACGAGUCGACGGGCGGGUUUUUGACGCAUUGCGGGUGGAACUCGACGCUAGAGAGCAUUGUCAAUGGUGUGCCUUUGAUUGCUUGGCCACUCUAUGCCGAGCAAAAGACGAACGCAGUUUUGCUUGCUGAAGGAAUAAAGGUAGCAUGGAGGGUUAAGGUGAAUGAUAAGGGCAUAGUGGAGCGUGAAGAGAUUUGCAAGUAUGCGAAGGGACUGAUUGAAGGGGACGAAGGGAAAGUGCUCAGAAAGAAGAUGAUGGAGCUGAAAAAGGCAUCUCAACUGGCUUUGAGCCCUGAUGGGUCGUCUACAAAAUCACUCUCGGAAGUAGCCAAUAUGUGGAAGGAACACAAGAACUGAUCUGCACGUACAUUGUGUCAACUAAUGUAUGUUUUGGUAACAAAUUGGAUGAGACUAGUUUCAUCUUGCAUGCUUCAUAGUUACCUUGUUUGUUAGUUCACUAUAUUGAAAGUUUGCAAGCAUAUUAUAAGGAUAUAAUAAGGACAGAAAACGUGGUACUGCUAUAUUACCUAUGUAUGGUUGUUCGAUCAAGCGCCCAGAUCAUGGACCCCCGAAACUUAAUCAACGAUAAUGUAAUUGAUUUUUGAAACUAGAUAGUAUCAUCAUAAAUUUGAAUCAAGACUCAAGACUGGACGUGUUGACGUAUGUUAGCUUUUUACUUGUGCAUCUGCACGGAGGAUGAAAAAAUAGAAAAUGUUUCACUCAAACUACUCCACCGGGAUAAAUCAGCUAAUUUUAUUUUUUUGUAAAUAAUUGUUUCAUGAAAAGUGAGAUGAAACUACCACGUUCUUUUUUUUUUUUAUUUUUUUUAAUUUAUGGUGUUUAUGGUAAAACCUAUAAUAAAUAUUAAUUUUAGUUCUUUAAGAAAUUUUUACUAACUUGAUUUUUUGGCUAAUUCAAAAAAAUAUUUCAUCAAAGACACCAAAAGAGUGCGUAGUUUUCUGAUAUAAUAUAGAUAUAUCAGCUUCCUCCUCAUGUCUAAAUGUGUAAUAGGUAUCAAAUUCAUGAGAGUAGUAAAUGAGCUGCAAUAUAAUAGACUAGAGAAUGAGCCAAGUAUACCUCAUUUGAAACUUCAAAUUUCAGAUUCUCAAAACUAAAGACGUUCGAUCUCUUGCUUUCCUUAUAGUUUUAGGGGGUUAUCGGAAAUGCCAAUUCUUGAAGAUUUGGAAGAAAAUAUAUACACCGUAUUCGAUCUUGUGCUUUGCAUGUGCCUCCUCAUGUCUUAUCUUCAUGAAGGACCGCUCGACCCACUCAUGGUAUCAAGUCGGUGCGAACUCAGUGAGCCAAAGAGAACGAGUCGGAUGAUGACUAGGGCAGUAAUGGUGGUGACCACGUGAGGCUUACGUAGCCUAGAUAUUGGCGUAAAGUGGCUUGGGUUGGGCUGUUUGGGUUUUGAGGCCCACGUUUUCGAUUUUUUCGUAGUGGCGUGUCCCGCGAAACCGAUUUUCUUUUGGGCCAAUUACAUAUAAGUCCACUUUGAGACAUUUUUUCCCACAUAGAUCCACCCUAACAUUUUUACCCACAUAAGUCCACCCAAGUCUAAAUAAGGUUUUGUAUUAAGUAUUGAAGUUCAACAUAAUUACAGACUGCCAUCCAACAAAAAAAAUUAGAUUUUCUUCCUUAUAUUUACAAGAAUGCUACUAGUAUAAAAAGUCAACAACCACUCUCAUUUCGGAACAGUCUCCGGCGGACCUCCAGCGAGAUUUCCAGCAGACCUCCGGCGAGGUUUCAGGCGGACCUCCGGCGAGGUUUUCGGCCGACGUCCGGCGAGAUUUCCGACUGACCUCCGGCGAGGUUUCCGUUCGACUUCCGACGAUGACAAAAAUUACUACUACCAGCUAUAAAAGCUACUACCACCAGCUACAAAAGCUACUACCACCGCCUACAAAAGAUACUACUGUGAGGUUUCCGAUGAACACAAAAGCUACUACCACUAGCCACAAAAACUACUACCACAAGCUACAAAAGCUACUACCACCGCCUACAAAAGCUACUACUGUGAGGUUUCCGACGAACACAAAAACUACUACCACCAGCUACAAAAGCUAUUACCACCGCCUACAAAAGCUACUACCACCGCCUACAAAAGCUACUACUGUGAGGUUUUCGACGAACACAAAAACUACUAGCACCAGCCACAAAAGCUACUACCACCAGCUACAAAAGCUACUAUCACCGCCUACAAAAGCUACUAUUGUGAGGUUUCCGACGAACACAAAAAAUACUACCAUCAGCCACAAAAGCUACUACCACCGCCUACAAAAGCUACUACCACCGCCUACAAAAGCUACUACCGCUACCAACAUAACGCUACCAACAAAAGCUACUACCGAGAUAAACAAAAGCUACUACCGAGAUAAACAAAAGCUACCACCAACAUAAACAAAAGCUACUACCCCUAUAUACAAAAGCUACCACCACAACAAAAGUUAUUACCGACAUAAACAAAAGCUAUUACCAACAUAAACAAAAGCUAUUACCAACAUAAACAAAAGCUACUACCCCUAUAUACAAAAACUACUACUGCCAGACAUAAAAGCUAUUGCCUCCAUCAAUAUAAGCUACUACCGUUACCAACAAAAAAUACUACUCUAACUAACAAAAGCUACUGCUGUCACUGACAAAAACUACUACAAGAUAUUUACUCAACCAUAAAAACAAACAAACAAUUAUUAGAAGAUUAAAGCUUAAGCAUAAAAGGAAAUCAAGAGAAUUGCAGAUCGGAUCCGGCGGCCGACGACGACAGAAAAGACGUCGCUCCGUCGACGGAGCUCCCAUCUUCGCUCGCUGCGGAUGAUGAGUCACGAAAUUCCUCAGCGUUUGACCGAUCAGAAAUACGAUCGAACGCGACUGAUUGGAGAUGAUGAAGGAUGCCUCGCUAGGUCUGCAUUUCUGAGAUCGAAGGACACCUCGUUAGGUCGGCAUAUCCGAGAUCCCAUAGGACUAAACGUAGCGACGACGUUGAGGCCUUCCUCGAGAUUGACGUCGUUCUCCUUGACCGGUGUGCCUCUCAACCAAACCUUCUUCGUCGAGGCCAUCGCUGCCUACCGGAUUAGAUCAUCCACAUCAUUGUUGAGAUCCAGAUCGUCGGCGUCAACUUUAUGGAUCACGCAGAUGCAAAGAUCGCCGUUGCGGUGUCCUUGAGCACGGCGGAGCCACCGUCUCGGUUGACCAUCGUAUGUUUGAGAGAGAGAAAGAGAGGUGUGCGGCGGCGACGUCGUCGGAAUCGGAGGUGGAAGAAUAAGGAGAGAGAAGUCGAGCGAAAGGCAGAAAGAGAAAGGAGAGGGAGAGAGAGAGGUGUGUGAGAGGGAUAAAUUUUUAGUACAGGGGUAAAAUAGUCAGGAUGUAAUAAUUUGAGAAAGAAAAGUGGACUUAUCUGGGUAAAAAAAUCAGAGUGAACUUGUGUGGGAGAAAAUACGGAGAAUGUGACUUAAAUGAAAUUUUCUAUUUUCUUUUCACGUGGGGCCAGCGCGUGACCAAGACCUACAAGUUGUUCAAAGACCUACAAGUUGAACACUUUUGGGGGAAGAAGAUGGAGGCAUAGUUGGGUGAUGCAUGGUCCUCUGUGCAUUUCAGAAAAGAUCGAUCCCACUCUUCUUUUUACAGAACCAUGCAUGUGCCCUCUUAUAUCACUUUCUUCUUGCAUUAUUGGGUGGUGCUUGCUUAGAUGCAUCAAUGCAUUAGAAACUUGAUCAACGUUGAUGAAUAUGUAUAUGUAUGUCACUAACUCUAAAGUAUGUUUUAAUUAAACCUGAUUUAGCUGACAUGAUCUCUCGAUGUGAAUUAGUCUGGGUCUAAAAAGAAGAUACUGACGUUGAUAAUCUAAAAAAAAAAUUAAACCUGGUUUAGUGCAUACUCUUUGUACUUUGCUCUAAAAUAGGAGCGCUAUUUUAUAUUUUUUUUCAGCUGUCUUCACUUAUCUUUUCUAAUAAAUAGCAAACGAAUGCGCACCAUUGUGAGAUCACGCUAGCCUAAUUUUCUUCUCGAGUUUAUCUAGCUUUUCUCUCAAUACCUCUCUAUCGCUGACAUUGAGCUAGCUAGCAGUUGAGACUCAGUCUCCUUGUAUUCUUUGUUAAAUACUUCACUAUCUACUCUCUAUUGCUACACCCAAAACAAAAGUUGAACUUACACCAUACCAUGGAAGGAUUGGAAGCUAAGUCCUCGACCCACCAGAAACUGAAACCACCCCACGUCGUCAUUGUCCCAACUCCGGGAUUAGGCCAUCUGAUCCCCCUCGUCGAGCUAGCGCAACGCCUCGUCGUCCACCACAACUUCACCGUCACCUUCUUCAUCCCCAACGACGGGUCGCAGCUGCAACCUCAGAAGAAACUCCUUGAAGCCUUGCCUCAAGCCAUAUCCUAUCACUUCCUCCCUCAAGUGAACUUCGACGACCUCCCUCAUGACGUCCAAUUCGAGAUGAAAAUCAUACUCACCUUGACUCGUUCACUGUCUGCUCUGCGUGACGCGGUUAAGCUCCUCGCCGAUUCAACUCGGGUUGUAGCUCUAGUGGCGGAUAUUUUUGGCUGGGAAGCCUUUGAUGUAGCCAAAGAGUUUAACCUCCUCUUUUACUAUUUCUUCAGUUCGAACGCUAUGGGGUUGUGGUUUGUGUUCGAGUUGCCAAAGCUCGAUGAAACCACCUCAUGCGAGUAUAGGGAUCUGCCGGAACCGAUCCACCUUCCGGGUUGCGUGCCGCUCCACGGUCCUGAUUUUGUAAUGCUGGUUCAAGAAAGGUCUAACGAGGCCUAUAGAGCGGCGGUGAACCUGAGCAAGUGGUAUAGGUCGGCAAAUGGGAUCAUUGUGAAUAGCUUUGCUGAUUUGGAACCCGGUGCCUUGAAGGCUUUCAGUGAGCAACGACAAGUUCUUGGUAUUC